ACACCCAUAGGCGCAUCUCCUCUCCUGAUUGUGGGCCUCAGUUCAGACACACUUCUCUGUAAAAUCUGUUUCUGCAUCUUCCAUGUUGUGGGAACUCUCUUCCACAUUACCUAUUCUCCUGUGUGAUCUCUCUUCCCCAUCCCCCAUCUAUCUGCAGGAUCUCUCUUCCCCAUCCCCCUUUCUCCUGAGGGAUCUCUCAUCCUUAUCCCCUUUCCUCCUGUGGGAUCUCUCUUCCCCAUCCACCUUUCUCCUGAGGAUUCUUUCUUCCCCGUGCCACAUCCGACCCUGUCACAUCAGAAACAUUUUUCUAACAAUCGGGACAUGAGACAGAAUAUGACUUUGCUCACUACCAAAUACCUAGACACCAUGGGCGCAUCUCCCACCCCUCCCGUACAAUCUAUUUCUGCAUCCCCUGGACCUGUAGUGAUGGAAGCAGAGUAUGCCCACACAUCGGUGAAUCCUGCAACUAUGUGCUCCUCCGGCUUGAAGAGGAGAAGCCGAUGUUCCCCCCAAGAGGGCAGAGAAUGUAGAUGCGGGGUAUUCCUAGCAAGAGGUGGGAAUCCGGAUGGAGGUUCGGUGAACACCCCACCCCCCCGAGGAAUCUCUCAUCCCCAUCCCCAUCCCCAUUCCUUUCUUUGGUUUCACUCUUCACUAUUCCCCUUCCUCUUGGUGUACCGCUGAUCCCCCAUUGACCUUCCUGCUGCAGGUGCUUUUGCUCGUUUGGGGUCCCUUUGACACUUUCUCAUUUACAAAUUUUCCUCACUGUGGGACUUUCUCCCAUCCUCUCACGUCAGGAACUCUCCUAACCAGUGGGGAGUGGGACAGAAUAUAUGGUCACACCGACAGACUAAAUUACCUCCAUUCAUGAAUACUCUGUGAGGGAAAUUGACAGUCAUGGGAACUUCGAUCAGUGAUUUACUGACCCACGUUUUGAAACAAUUUGUUCAUCAAUUUGUCUGUUUGUGUUUAGGCUUGGGCGGAAUGAACUCGGAGAUCCAGGAGUGAAACUGGUGUCUGCAGCUCUGAGGAACCCGGAAUGUAAAAUACAGAAACUGGGGCUGAGGGAUGUCGGUCUCUCAGAUUCUGGUGUCGAGGAUCUCGCCUCCGCUCUCAGUACAAACUCCUCACUAACAAAGCUGAACCUGGGAUUAAACUGGCUGACAGACCGAUCUGUCCCCGCUCUCCGCCGCCUCAUACAGACCCUCCCGAGUCUGGAGUGGAUCGGACUGUGGAAAAAUGAUUUCAGUUGUACUGGGAAGAAAGAACUGGAAUCUCUGCUGGAACGCAGACCCGGACUGAGAGUGAAUCUAUGAACAUCUGUAUGUGUGAACAUCCCCUUCAGCGGGAUGGGGACAUUCUGCCCGAUUCCCGGCUCUCCCUUUUAAAUCCCGCCCUUACCUUUAGCGACCAUGCGCCAGGUUUAAUUCCCGCAGACAGGAAGAGCCCGGGAGAGAGUCCAGGAGAGAAUCCUUUUGCUCCCUUUGCUGAGGACGGUGUAUUCGGCGGUCUGGCUGAUAUAAUGAAGUUAAAUUGAUAAAUACCUUGGACGUGACCCUGGAUCUGCAGCGAUCCCAGACACGGCCCUGAAAUGUGAUUUUAAUGAUUAUCGGUUCCCUGAUGUAGAGCGAUGGUGAGAUUAUUCAAUCUGUCACUUGUUGUUGCCGGUCAAUUAAUUGUGUGUGACUGUAAGUGAGUCGAGAACAGCUUAUUUAUACCCGUGUUAGCAGCUCACAAGUUGUUUAAUUUAAAUUUGUCAUGAUAAAAUCAAUAAACCGCUGUAACUUACUGUUA
Molecule: long non-coding RNA, 1791 nt
Organism: Hypanus sabinus (Atlantic stingray)
Lineage: Eukaryota; Metazoa; Chordata; Chondrichthyes; Myliobatiformes; Dasyatidae
Exons: 3
Source: RefSeq, a predicted model, not a curated record